CUCUUUCAUCUCUCCAGUCUUUUUACCUGGCUCUGAUUAGUGCAUCUGGAAUUUGAAGACCAAAUGCAACAGAGACACACAGAGAGUCACAGAGCUGGCAUAGACCACCAGAGGUGGGCUGAUAUUUUCUCUUGGAAGAUAAACUCAAAGAAAGAAAAAAAAUGGAUUUUAUCAUCUACCAUGGUCCAUAGUAAACACAGAAAACCGCCCUCUGCUCAGUGGGCAGCUCAUUCACAUUCAUUCACUUUUCCAACAAAUACAAAGUCCCUAAUCAGCGUCAGCGCUGCCCAGGUGCUACUCACCUGUGUGGCCCAGCAUGCAGAGUUGAAUAGCUAUUCUUUUCUAUAUGCUUAUUUCAUGCUUUUAGAAAUAAAAUCAUCAUCUUGAGUGUAGCAGAAGUGGUCAGAAUCAAAAUGUAAUCGGUUAUGUCAACUUUAACAACAAUAACCAAAAACAACUAAGUCGGAGAGAUUACAAAGGAAGGAUUUUUACUCAUGGCUACCUUUUAGCUACUACCACAAAGGACUGUGAGAGCACCACCUUGCACAGAGCCCACUGCGACCUUAUACAAAGAGCACUUGUAUGAAGACAGCUGCCAGGCAAUAUCUGCUCAACCCUGGACGGAGGCUACUCUUGCUAUUGGUCAUCAUGGCCCAACCUUAUUAUUGCAAAAUAUCUGAUGCAAUCAUCCUAUUUCUAUAUUUUUUAUUUGGCUAGGGUCUCCUUAUGUUGCCCAAUCUAGCUUUGAACUCAAGAUACUUCUGCCUCAGCAAUCCAAGCAUCAUCCUUUUCUUUAAAAAAUCUUCCCCUUGUCACCGGGUAUCAAGGUGCACACCUGUAAUCCCUCCCAGCUACUCAGGAGGCUGAAGCAGGAGGAUCAUAAAUUAGAGGCCAGCCUGGGCAACUUAGCAAGAUCAUGUCUGAAAGUAAAAAUAAACUGAGCUGGGGAUUUAGCUCAGGGAUAAAGUGUAGCUGGGUUAGAUCCCUGAUACCAUGAAAAACAAAGCAAAGUAAAACAGAACCAAACGAAAACAAAACUUCCCCUUGCCUCAGCCUCUUGAAUACACUCAUGGUUUCCUAGGGUGUGUGUGAAUCUCUGCUUCAUUCAC
This 1109-nucleotide long non-coding RNA is filed under the name Marmota monax (woodchuck). The record is from RNAcentral. Lineage: Eukaryota; Metazoa; Chordata; Mammalia; Rodentia; Sciuridae.